GAAUAUCUGUGGGAUUUUUUUUUGUCCUUCCAGAGACACGUUCUGUGACCAGCAGCCCAGUUCCUGCUCCAUCAGCCCCCCAAAUAUCAAAAAGUUCCAAGCCUUUUGGUUAUGGAUAUCCAGCACUGCAGCCUGGCUACCAAAAUACAGUGCCACCUACUCCUGUGCAGCAGCCCAGUAAUCCAGGCCACCAUCCUGGGUUUCAGCAUUAUCCACAGCAAUAUCCAGGUGUGAACCAGCUGUCCUCUUCCUUAGGAGGCUUAAGUCUACAGCAUUCUCAGCAGCCAGAAGGCUUGAGACCAGUAAACCUUACACAAGACAGGAAUAUUUUGCCUGUAUCUUCAGUUCCAGCUCCUGUGCCUAACUUGAAUUCUGAUCUUAGGAAAUUAAACUGCAGUCCAGAUUCAUUUCGAUGUACGCUGACAAAUAUUCCACAGACACAGGCUUUGUUAAACAAAGCUAAGCUUCCAUUGGGUUUGUUGCUACAUCCUUUCAGAGACUUAACGGUAAAGUA
Oxyura jamaicensis (ruddy duck) is the source of this 514-nucleotide long non-coding RNA. RefSeq lists it as uncharacterized. The record is from RefSeq and is a predicted model, not a curated record. NCBI's taxonomy places the organism in Eukaryota, Metazoa, Chordata, Aves, Anseriformes, Anatidae. The transcript has 3 exons.